GACGAACGCUGGCGGCGUGCUUAACACAUGCAAGUCGAACGGAAAGGCCCUGCUUUUGUGGGGUGCUCGAGUGGCGAACGGGUGAGUAACAAGUGAGUAACCUGCCCUUGACUUUGGGAUAACUUCAGGAAGCUGGGGCUAAUACCGGAUAGGAGCUCCUGCUGCAUGGUGGGGGUUGGAAAGUUUCGGCGGGUGGGGAUGGACUCGCGGCUUAUCAGCUUGCUGGUGGGGUAGUGGCUUACCAAGGCUUUGACGGGUAGCCGGCCUGAGAGGGUGACCGGCCACAUUGGGACUGAGAUACGGCCCAGACUCCUACGGGAGGCAGCAGUGGGGAAUAUUGCACAAUGGGCGGAAGCCUGAUGCAGCAACGCCGCGUGCGGGAUGACGGCCUUCGGGUUGUAAACCGCUUUCGCCUGUGACGAAGCGUGAGUGACGGUAAUGGGUAAAGAAGCACCGGCUAACUACGUG
RNAcentral lists this ribosomal RNA (468 nucleotides) under uncultured bacterium. RNAcentral describes it as "partial 16S ribosomal RNA". It matches the Rfam family "Bacterial small subunit ribosomal RNA", at positions 28 to 507 of the family's 1533-position model. The record is from RNAcentral.